Molecule: ribosomal RNA, 468 nt
Filed under: uncultured bacterium
Lineage: Bacteria
Description: partial 16S ribosomal RNA
Rfam family: Bacterial small subunit ribosomal RNA
Source: RNAcentral
GACGAACGCUGGCGGCGUGCUUAACACAUGCAAGUCGAACGAUGACGACCGAGCUUGCUCGGUCUGAUUAGUGGCGAACGGGUGAGUAACACGUGAGCAACCUGCCCUUCACUCUGGGAUAACCUCGGGAAAUCGGGGCUAAUACCGGAUAUGAGCUCCUGUCGCAUGGCGGGUGUUGGAAAGUUUUUCGGUGAAGGAUGGGCUCGCGGCCUAUCAGUUUGUUGGUGAGGUAGUGGCUCACCAAGGCGAUGACGGGUAGCCGGCCGGAGAGGGCGACCGGCCACGCGGGGGAGGGAGAGACGCCCAGGACUCAUAGGGGGGGCAGCAGGGGGGAAUAUUGCAGAGGGGGAGAAAGCCGGAGGCAGCGCCCCCGGGGGAGGAAGGACGGCCUGGGGUUUGAAACCCUUUUUCGGAGGGAAAGAAGGGAAAGUGAGGGACCGUGAAAAAGAGGCCCCGACAAACUCGGUC